GCCUGGCUGGCUCAGUGGGUGGAGCCUGCAACUCUUGAUCCCGGGGUUGUGAGUUCAAGUCCCAUGUUGGGCG
RNAcentral lists this transfer RNA (73 nucleotides) under Ailuropoda melanoleuca (giant panda). It matches the Rfam family "tRNA". Rfam says of the family: Transfer RNA (tRNA) molecules are approximately 80 nucleotides in length. Their secondary structure includes four short double-helical elements and three loops (D, anti-codon, and T loops). The record is from Rfam by way of RNAcentral. Lineage: Eukaryota; Metazoa; Chordata; Mammalia; Carnivora; Ursidae.